UUCAGUUGCUUCAAAAUUGCUGCUUCAGUGCAUUCAGCGGACACGGCCCCACAGUCCUGGAGGCUCUUUUGGGGCUGAAAAGCCUUCAGAUCUGUCUCUGCAGUGCAGUGUUUGCGGAGUGAGCUGUCGCUGGUCGUUUCAUCCCAAGGCCAAUUUGUGCAGCAAUCAGAGAUAUCACUUGAUGCUGCGCUGUGGUUUUGAUAUGCAUAUGUUUGCCUGUUAGCGUUUGUGUCCACAGCACUUGAAGUAUGUUUGUAUGAUUGGGUUUAUUAAUGACCCCUUUAGGCUGUUUUCUGGACCUCCUUUAAAGAAAGAAACCCAAUCAUGAUAUGUUUGCUUCUCUGAUGUUGUUGUUGUUGUUGUUCAUAAUGCAUAUUUUAAGAAUAAUCCCAAUAUUCCAAAGUUGCCAGCUGUGAGUUUUUUAAUGCUGCUCUGGGGCUUUAAUUGAGCGUCCAAUACUGAUAAACACUCAUGUGUGAAGGUCUGAAAGCAUUUCUCAUCCUGCUCAUCUCUGACGUCAGUGAAGCUAUAGGUUUCUUAUUCUGAAUUAUUUAAGUUUGUCCCACGGAGCCAAUCACGACUUGAGCAUCCCUAAAUUUUUAACCGCAGUCAGAAUUCAGAGAUUUUGCAUUAGUAAUGACUGGAGCGAGGCGAUGACGUCAAAACAAAGCGUGUCAGACACAACUUGAAGAGGAAAUAUCUCAAACAAUUCAACGACAUGAGGAGUGACAAAAGUUUCUUUACAGCUCUUUGUCUGAGAUGUGAAGAUGAGUUUUUUUAUAUACAUGUGUGAAGGUAAAAA
Molecule: long non-coding RNA, 802 nt
Organism: Larimichthys crocea (large yellow croaker)
Lineage: Eukaryota; Metazoa; Chordata; Actinopteri; Sciaenidae
Exons: 3
Source: RefSeq, a predicted model, not a curated record